This 253-nucleotide ribosomal RNA is filed under the name uncultured bacterium. RNAcentral's name for it is "partial 16S ribosomal RNA". It matches the Rfam family "Bacterial small subunit ribosomal RNA", at positions 524 to 776 of the family's 1533-position model. The record is from RNAcentral.
UACGGAGGGUGCUAGCGUUAUCCGGAAUUAUUGGGCGUAAAGGGUGCGUAGGCGGUGAAUCAAGUAAGGUGUCAAGGUGUAGAGCUUAACCAUAUAAGUGCCUUGUAGACUGAUAGACUAGAGUACAGGAGGGGUGAGGAGAAUUCCCAGUGUAGGGGUGAAAUCCGUAGAUAUUGGGAAGAACACCAGUGGCGAAGGCGGGUCUCUGGACUGAGACUGACGCUGAGGCACGAAAGCUAGGGGAGCAAAACGG